GCCACGGGCCGUGACUGGCGCGCUGGGUCUCCCACCAGGGGAUCCGAAGAUGGACGACCAUCGGGGAGCGGCCCGCAGUACUUACUGAGAACGUGUGCCGUGCGCCUGGGCCGAACCG
This 118-nucleotide non-coding RNA is filed under the name Actinobacteria bacterium OK074. RNAcentral describes it as "ZMP/ZTP riboswitch aptamer (pfl RNA motif)". It matches the Rfam family "ZMP/ZTP riboswitch aptamer (pfl RNA motif)". From Rfam's summary of the family: Previously known as pfl RNA. The record is from Rfam by way of RNAcentral. RNAcentral also lists the same sequence under 1 other name. Lineage: Bacteria; Bacillati; Actinomycetota; Actinomycetes.